UACGAAGGGGGCUAGCGUUGCUCGGAAUGACUGGGCGUAAAGGGCGCGUAGGCGGCUUGCACCGUCAGAUGUGAAAUUCCUGGGCUUAACCUGGGGGCUGCAUUUGAUACGUGUGGGCUUGAGUGCGGAAGAGGGUCGUGGAAUUCCCAGUGUAGAGGUGAAAUUCGUAGAUAUUGGGAAGAACACCGGUGGCGAAGGCGGCGACCUGGUCCGUGACUGACGCUGAGGCGCGAAAGCGUGGGGAGCGAACAGG
Molecule: ribosomal RNA, 253 nt
Filed under: uncultured bacterium
Lineage: Bacteria
Description: partial 16S ribosomal RNA
Rfam family: Bacterial small subunit ribosomal RNA
Source: RNAcentral